CAGAAUCCUAGGAAACCCCAGAUUUUGGCGCUCAUUUUUGACUUAGGGAUGAUGCUGAGACAUCAGGUUCCUGAAAAUGUUCUCCACUUCAUGAAUUGUCUCGAGUGUUUCAGGAGAAGGUCCCGUACAAGAGCAACUGAAUGCAUCAACAAUACCUUUGUCCAUUUCUGAUCCAAGAUCCCUCAGUCCAUUCCUAAGGAAAGGCAACGGGUAUUUGAUUGCACC
Corapipo altera (White-ruffed manakin) is the source of this 225-nucleotide long non-coding RNA. RefSeq lists it as uncharacterized. The transcript is spliced from 3 exons. NCBI's taxonomy places the organism in Eukaryota, Metazoa, Chordata, Aves, Passeriformes, Pipridae. The record is from RefSeq and is a predicted model, not a curated record.